This 72-nucleotide transfer RNA is filed under the name Camelus bactrianus (Bactrian camel). It matches the Rfam family "tRNA". Rfam says of the family: Transfer RNA (tRNA) molecules are approximately 80 nucleotides in length. Their secondary structure includes four short double-helical elements and three loops (D, anti-codon, and T loops). Lineage: Eukaryota; Metazoa; Chordata; Mammalia; Artiodactyla; Camelidae. RNAcentral also lists the same sequence under 2 other names. The record is from Rfam by way of RNAcentral.
GAGGGCAUAGCUCACUGGUAAAACAUGUGCUUACUAUGCACAAGGUCCUGGGUUCAAUCCCCAGAACCUCCA